UUUAAUUGAAGAGUUUGAUCAUGGCUCAGAUUGAACGCUGGCGGCAGGCCUAACACAUGCAAGUCGAGCGGAAACAGAAAGUAGCUUGCUACUUUGCUGUCGAGCGGCGGAC
Molecule: ribosomal RNA, 112 nt
Filed under: Shewanella atlantica
Lineage: Bacteria; Pseudomonadati; Pseudomonadota; Gammaproteobacteria; Alteromonadales; Shewanellaceae
Description: partial 16S ribosomal RNA
Rfam family: Bacterial small subunit ribosomal RNA
Source: RNAcentral